AUGGCCGAGACAACAUUUGCAAGACUCUCUCUCACACACACAAGUGACAAGAUCAUUUGCACAAGUUCGUAUACAUUGAUUGUUCCUUUGUGGCAAAUAUAUGAAAGCCAAAGCUGGCCGCUGAAGUUGCCAAGGGAUUCCAUGAAGCAGAAUUUCCAGGUUCCUGAGAACUAAGUAUGGAAUAGCAUUUUCAAGUUCUAUUGAGAAUGGCAUGUGUUCUUACUAUGUCUAGCUUCAUUGACAUGGUGAAUCAUAGGCAUUUGGCUAUCUGAAACCAAUUUGGUUAAACUCAUUUAACAUCAGAAGCUGUUUCUUGAAUAGAAACUCUAUCCAACAUAAAAUUGCUUGUAGGUUAGGUGCUUGUAUUGAUUUGUUUUGCUUGGUUUUGAGCAAAUUCAACUUUUUCUUAGGUGCAACUGGACCAUUGGCUGGAAAAUCAGGCAUAGACAGACAACGGAAAAUUGCAGACUUGCUGAAGAUACACCGCUUGAUUAUAUCCUUCCCAACAUACAAAAUCAAGCAUUCUUUCACUAAAUACAAAUGGAUACGAAUAAGGAAAUCUGGUGAACUUGAACAAAAUUUGUUGCAUUGUGCAAUCCAAUUUAGGCAGUUCACAGUAACUUUAUAAAUUAUGUCAAGGCAGAUAGCAAUUAGCAAACCAAUUGCCAAUAUCUUCACUAGAAACACAUCAGAUACAAUAAUCAGCUUCAUCAUUGCUUGACCACAUUCUCCACGUACCACUUGUAAGUAUCGAUAAGCCCAUCCUUAAGUGAAACACUAGGAGGCCACCACAAACCCAACAGCUUGGAGCUGUCCGUGAGCUUUCUUGGGGUCCCAUCUGGCUUUGAUGUAUCCCAAACAAGCUCCACAUCAAACCGCACCACUUCCUUCAUUGACUCCGCCAACUCCCUGAUCGUUACCUCCUUCCCACUUCCAACAUUUACAUGUUCCAGCCCACUAUAGCUCUCCAUCAAAAACACCACCGCGUCCGCCAAAUCAUCCACAUGUAGAAACUCCCUCAAUGGACUCCCUGUUCCCCACACCACCACCUCCUUUGCCCCGCUCACUUUUGCCUCGUGAAACCUCCUCAUCAACGCCGGAAGAACAUGAGAAUUUUCUGGAUGAAAGUUAUCAUUUGGAUCAUAUAAAUUGGUGGGCAUCCCAGAAAUUGCAUCCCAGUUGUACUGAAUUCUGUAGGCUUGACACAUUUUAUUCCAGCGAUCUUGGCCACAGCAUACCAUUCAUUAGUGGGCUCCAGAGGUCCUGUGAGCAGGGCGUUUUCUGGGAUUGGCUGAGGAGCUAACUUGGGGUAUAUACAGGAAGAACCUAAAAAGAGCAAUUUCUUGACGCCAUGGCGAAAAGAGGAGUCGAUGACAUUGGUUUGGAUCUGGAGAUUGAUGGCUAUGAAAUCAGCCGGAUAAGUGUUGUUAGCAUGGAUGCCGCCAACUUUGGCAGCAGCCAAGAUAAGAAAUUCCGGCUUUUCAGCGGCAAAGAAGGACUCGAUUGGAGGGUGAGGUCGAGCUCCGCAUGGGUGCGAAGGACGAGAUUAGUGAAGCCAAGGGCGUGGAAUUUGCGAACGAUAGUAGAUCCAACCAGACCACGGUGGCCAGCUACGAAGAUCUUGGAGGAUUUACUAGAGAGGAAAGAUGAUGAAUCUAGAGAAAAAGAUGAGUAAAUAGAACAAGUGAGAUCUCUAAUUGAUAGCUGAAACAAAAAUGUGGGAAAAAGAAGAGAAUACCGUGGCUAAGACAGCCCAUUUGUCAGAGGUGAAUCUCCGCAGUUAUGGUGGAUGUUACAAACGAUAGUGUUUCGAAGACUAAAGGCUAGCAGAAGCCCUUCAGUUAAAACAAAAGGUACAAACUAAAGGCUACAGAGUUAGAAAGUUUACAGAAGGGAAACUUCUUUUAUCAAUUCAUAGAAGAAUAACAGGAAAAAUAAUAAUAAUAAUAACACACACCGACACAAGCAAAGGGAUUAAGGGAAACUUCAUCUGUCAAUUCCCAGCCUGUAUUAAUAAGUGACAAGUCUAAGCUGGUUUUCAUACUUGCUAAAAGAUUAGAUUUAGUUGGAAAUUUUGGAGGGGAUUCGAGUAAAAUGGUUCAUGACAAUAUAACACAGGCAUUUUAGCGAAUACCUAAUCGGCAUAAUACAAAGAUGCUUAAACCUUAUGAAUCAGCAAAUUAAGUCCGAUGAACACUGAACAAGCAUAAAAUGUCAACAAUUUUGACUAGCAAACCAACACUUUUACAGUCUAGCAAAAUGGGAAGUGGUUAAAAAAACAAACUAUCGAUUUUUAGAUCUUACCUUCUCUUUUUUCCCUUCAGGAUUUGCUCUUUCUGUGCUUAGAUCUGAGUAAAAACAGAAUCAAUUUCAGUGAGAAUGGCGGUGCGAUUUGACUUUUGACAAAUAGUAUUCGUUGAUGAAAAGGGUAGGCUUUAGGGAACAAUUAGUUUUAAAAUGGGCUUUUUAUUUUUGGGUUUUU
Molecule: unclassified non-coding RNA, 2482 nt
Filed under: Hevea brasiliensis (rubber tree)
Lineage: Eukaryota; Viridiplantae; Streptophyta; Magnoliopsida; Malpighiales; Euphorbiaceae
Source: RNAcentral